UACAGAGGGUGCGAGCGUUAAUCGGAAUUACUGGGCGUAAAGCGCGCGUAGGCGGUUUUGUAAGUCGGGUGUGAAAUCCCCAAGCUUAACUUGGGAACUGCAUUCGAGACUGCACAGCUAGAGUAUGGGAGAGGGAAGUGGAAUUUCAGGUGUAACGGUGAAAUGCGUAGAUAUCUGAAGGAACAUCAGUGACGAAAGCGACUUCCUGGACCAAUACUGACGCUCAUGUGCGAAAGCGUGGGGAGCAAACAGG
RNAcentral lists this ribosomal RNA (253 nucleotides) under uncultured bacterium. RNAcentral's name for it is "partial 16S ribosomal RNA". It matches the Rfam family "Bacterial small subunit ribosomal RNA", at positions 524 to 776 of the family's 1533-position model. The record is from RNAcentral.